RNAcentral lists this ribosomal RNA (378 nucleotides) under Triticum aestivum (bread wheat). RNAcentral's name for it is "partial small subunit ribosomal RNA". Lineage: Eukaryota; Viridiplantae; Streptophyta; Magnoliopsida; Poales; Poaceae. The record is from RNAcentral.
AUGAAGCCCGAAGAGAAGCCCAACCGGCCGCCAUCACGGCUGGACUGCAUAAAGUACUUCAAUGCACUAUGGUCCUGCUACUCGCCAUUCCACCAGAUGCAGAACUAUUACCGCUACGGGGUUUUUGACAACUGCUCCAGCAAGUGGCGCGAUCUCGUCGACUGUCUCAUGCUCAAGACGAAGUCGAGGGCGGAGGUAGAGGAGAUGCUCAUGGCGCGGGAGAAGGCCAGGCCGCACUUCUGGACCUACCGGACUGUCGACGAGGCGUCAGCGAACUGGUGGAAGAUGUACAAGCACAGGGUGAUGAUGUCGUCACCGCCAAAGACUGCAGGUUCUGCUGCGCCUCCUCCCAAACCUGCUGCACCGAAGAAGCGUUGA